UAACUGGAGAGUUUGAUUCUGGCUCAGAACGAACGCUGGCGGCGUGCCUAACACAUGCAAGUCGAACGAGAAUGGUCCCUUCGGGGGCCUAGUACAGUGGCGCACGGGUGAGUAAUACGUAGGUGACCUGCCCUUUGCUGGGGAACAACCCCGGGAAACCGAGGCUAAUUCCGCAUAAGCUCCUCAGGUUGCGGCCUGAGGAGGAAAGGUGGCCUCUUCAUGAAAGCUAUCGGCAAAGGAUGGGCCUGCGUCCCAUCAGCUAGUUGGUGAGGUAACGGCUCACCAAGGCUGCAACGGGUAGCUGGUCUGAGAGGAUGAUCAGCCACACUGGAACUGAGACACGGUCCAGACUCCUACGGGAGGCAGCAGUGGGGAAUAUU
RNAcentral lists this ribosomal RNA (380 nucleotides) under Pseudomonadota bacterium. RNAcentral describes it as "bacterial SSU rRNA". It matches the Rfam family "Bacterial small subunit ribosomal RNA", at positions 1 to 365 of the family's 1533-position model. The record is from RNAcentral. Lineage: Bacteria; Pseudomonadati; Pseudomonadota.